Molecule: ribosomal RNA, 502 nt
Filed under: uncultured bacterium
Lineage: Bacteria
Description: partial 16S ribosomal RNA
Rfam family: Bacterial small subunit ribosomal RNA
Source: RNAcentral
AUUGAACGCUGGCGGCAGGCUUAACACAUGCAAGUCGAGCGGGUGAGGUUGCUUCGGUAACUGAGCUAGCGGCGGACGGGUGAGUAAAGCUUAGGAAUCUGCCUAUUAGUGGGGGACAACAUUCCGAAAGGGAUGCUAAUACCGCAUACGUCCUACGGGAGAAAGCAGGGGCUCUUUAUGACCUUGCGCUAAUAGAUGAGCCUAAGUCGGAUUAGCUAGUUGGUGGGGUAAAGGCCUACCAAGGCGACGAUCUGUAGCGGGUCUGAGAGGAUGAUCCGCCAUACUGGGACUGAGACACGGCCCAGACUCCUACGGGAGGCAGCAGUGGGGAAUAUUGGACAAUGGGGGGAACCCUGAUCCAGCCAUGCCGCGUGUGUGAAGAAGGCCUUUUGGUUGUAAAGCACUUUAAGUGGGGAGGAGGCUUACCUGGUUAAUACCUGGGCUAAGUGGACGUUACCCACAGAAUAAGCACCGGCUAACUCUGUGCCAGCCGCCGCCGUAA